CCUACGGGUGGCAGCAGUGAGGAAUAUUGGUCAAUGGACGAGAGUCUGAACCAGCCAAGUAGCGUGAAGGAUGACUGCCCUAUGGGUUGUAAACUUCUUUUAUAUGGGAAUAAAAUGUUCCACGUGUGGGAUUUUGUAUGUACCAUAUGAAUAAGGAUCGGCUAACUCCGUGCCAGCAGCCGCGGUAAUAAGGAGGAUCCGAGCGUUGUCAGGAAUUAUUGGGUUUAAAGGGAGCGUAGGUGGAUUGUUAAGUCAGUUGUGAAAGUUUGCGGCUCAACCGUAAAAUUGCAGUUGAAACUGGCAGUCUUGAGUACAGUAGAGGUGGGCGGAAUUCGUGGUGUAGCGGUGAAAUGCUUAGAUAUCACGAAGAACUCCGAUUGCGAAGGCAGUUCACUGGACUGCAACUGACACUGAGGCUCGAAAGUGUGGGUAUCAAACAGGAUUAGAUACCCCUGUAGUC
Molecule: ribosomal RNA, 460 nt
Filed under: uncultured bacterium
Lineage: Bacteria
Description: partial 16S ribosomal RNA
Rfam family: Bacterial small subunit ribosomal RNA
Source: RNAcentral